Molecule: long non-coding RNA, 615 nt
Filed under: Ornithorhynchus anatinus (platypus)
Lineage: Eukaryota; Metazoa; Chordata; Mammalia; Monotremata; Ornithorhynchidae
Description: lncRNA (ENSOANG00000047172.1)
Source: RNAcentral
CACACCAGUAAUCCUAGCCGGGCAAGGUGUUUACCAUCUCACUAGGAGGGAAAAAGAAAAUGGAAAGAUCUAUUGGUGAGCCAAUAAAUUAGUGCUUAAAUAGGGUGCAUAAACCACCCUGAAAAAAAAGCUUCGGGUGAGUCAGUUGACGUAAAUUGGGAAACAAAUUGCAGUACAAACUUCUGGGGACAGAUAGGAUUUCAGGAGGGCUUGGAAUCGGGGAAAGCUGGGGUCUGAUGAGUUUGAAAGGAAAAGCCGGGAGUAAAAACCAGGCUUGGAAGGACAGAGAGAUUGCCUCCACCAGAUCAAGCCACCUGAUUUGAACUGCUGUUUUUUUGAGAGAAAAAUCACUGAAAGGGAUGGUGGGGAUAGAGUAAAAUGAUCAAAAUACGUUUAGGAAAAUGAGUUGUAUACUCAACAUGAAGGCAUCCUCCAAUUAAGAUUGCUGAAAGCAGGAAACGAUUGAGAAAUGCAUGGCUUAAAAUGGCAGAUGCUUGAAGAGGAAACUGCAGAGGGUGACCUGUCGACAACCUCCAGCAAUCGAAAGAAGUCAGCCUGAGUAGUAAUACAUCACCAGCCCUGGGAACAGAGGAUAGCGAAAUCAUUCAUCAUGGU